Molecule: long non-coding RNA, 433 nt
Organism: Panicum virgatum (switchgrass)
Lineage: Eukaryota; Viridiplantae; Streptophyta; Magnoliopsida; Poales; Poaceae
Exons: 2
Source: RefSeq, a predicted model, not a curated record
UGUUAAAUGCCUUUUGUUCUAGUGUAAAUUUUUUUCUAAAUAUUUGUUUAUCAUAUAUUUUGCAUUGUAGGUGACGAUCUGGAACAUGAUGAUAUUGAAGCAAGAGACGAACGUGCUGAGACAAACCAAAUAAUUGAUUGUAAUGUUGGGGCAUCUUCAACCAUGAAUGCUCCUUUCGUCCAAGGUGGAUAUACUAAUAUCGCAAUGCCCCCAUUCAAUUUAUUUGCCAAUCCUUCUGCAAUGGCUCCUCCAUACAUACCAGAAGGGUACACAAGUCUCUUAAUGGGAGUUGAUCAAGAUGCUACAACGCAAGCUGCUGUUAGGAAGUUACAUUUUGAUGAAUCUAUGUAGACAUGUUCUCAUGAAAUGAACCAUAUUGUUUUGUAAACUCAGACCCUAAGCACCUCAAUUAAAUCUUCAAAGUUGAUGAGUA